CAUAAUUCAUAUAUCAAUUUUCAUUCCAGAAAAGUAUCAAUCUAAAAAAUAAAAAGGCCAGUUUCGCCAAUUGUUUCAGAUGGUUUUCUUACAGAAUAAAUGUGUCAAAAAAGGAUUAGCAUAUAUUCACAAUAAAUUUCUAAAGAAACAGUUUAUGGAAUUCAAUUUUCCAACUCUCAUUGUUGCUACUGAACGCCUAACAAUGAGGAAGACAACUUGAAAAGCUUCUUACAACCAGAAAAGCGGGCAGAGGGGAUCAGAACUCAGAAGGCCGAUUUCCGCUUCCUAGACAAGCCUCUUCUGGCUAGCGAUAACUUGGACCUCAUAGGAAUAUUGUCUUCAUCACUAUCUUCGCUAUCCAACACAAUCACAGCAUCCGGUGCCCCCUCACCCAGUUUUACAGCACUGUCUCCAUCACAAACCUCAACAGUGGGCUGCUUCUUACCAGACUUGGCAUCAUUUGCUGGGUACAGAUAUGUCAGAUCAAGAUCUGAUACCUUCUCAGGUUGCAUGAUCACAUUCUCAU
This 526-nucleotide long non-coding RNA is filed under the name Salvia miltiorrhiza (redroot sage). RNAcentral's name for it is "long non-coding RNA (SMIL_LNC014244)". The record is from RNAcentral. Lineage: Eukaryota; Viridiplantae; Streptophyta; Magnoliopsida; Lamiales; Lamiaceae.